Long non-coding RNA from Pieris napi, 1542 nucleotides. RefSeq lists it as uncharacterized. The record is from RefSeq and is a predicted model, not a curated record. The transcript is spliced from 2 exons. NCBI's taxonomy places the organism in Eukaryota, Metazoa, Arthropoda, Insecta, Lepidoptera, Pieridae.
UACAGACGGGAGCAAAACGUCCGCGGGAGUGGGAGCGGCAUGGACUGAGUGGCAAGACGGGACCGAGAUUAAAAAUAAAAAGGUGAGGCUGGCUCCGUACUGUACAGUGUACCAGGCGGAGCUAGCCGCACUGAGGGACGCAGUGACAUAUCUGACCAAGGGAAGGCGGAAUGCGGCUGUGCUCAGCGACUCUCGCUCUUCACUGGAUGCCAUCGCGGGUGGACGCUCUCUCGAUCCCCAAGUUGCCGAGAUUCGCCAGAACCUGGAAGAGUGCCAUGAAAAUGGCAUUAAAAUUGAACUCUUUUGGGUGAAGGCGCACGUUGGCACUACGGGAAACGAGAGGGCAGACGCUCUCGCGGGGGAGGCGGUUGGGGAAACAGGGACGCGAAUAGGGUACGAUGCGUAUCCGCUUUCCUAUUUGCGACGACUGACAAGACUCAAGACUUCAGACACCUGGGGGUCUAGCCAUAUUGGUGUCGAAAAGUAUUCUACAUACACUACCGCUUUUGCGUAAUUGUACUGUCGAAAACGCUUCGUUCGUAGCCAAGAGGCAUGUCGAUACAUUACCGCAAAGUCGACAACGUAGAUGCGAGCUGCUGUUCGUAGCACCUUAUUCCGUCAUAUUGUCUCUGGAUUAAAUGUAUUCCUAAUGUCACUUUUAUAAACAAAUAAAAGUUAAAACUUUACAAUAUUAUUGUAAAUUUGCAAUUGGAAGCUGCAAAAGGGACAUUAGAAUGUCAGCAAGGUUGGAAGUGGAACAAUUUUCGAUUUAAGUGGAAUUUACGGAAGGUGCAAAGAUUUGAGUUUUGACCUCACAACUAAUCUGCAAAAUGAAGAAGCAACAUAUUUUGUUACCGCUUAGAAGAAACAAUAGAAAUAGUACUGUGGAUUGAUAAAUAAAGAGUGAAAAUAAGGUUGACUAGAAGUUGAUAAAGUCCAAGGAAUUUAAAAACAAUAGAAACGUAGACUAGUGUGAACACUGAAAUUAGAGUUUGAUUUAAGCUUUAAUUAGGUUUGGUGUUUGUGCUUGAACAUUUUUAAUGUCAAUUUGAAAGCAGAUUUUUAUAAAAGUGUAGAUUUUAUUAGUGAUUUGGAGUGAUAGUGAGUUGGAAUUAUCUCUGUUUAUGUCUAUCAAACAAUUUCAGUUUAAGUUAGAGCCAUAAAGGUUGAUUGUUUAUAAUAUAUUUAUAAAAAAAGAGGGAUUAAUUAAAAUUAUAAAAUAGAAACUUAGUCUUAAAUUAUAACCCUUAAUCAACCUUUGACUCCAUAUUGAUGCUCCAACAUCUUAGAUAUAAAUUUAAGUUUGAUGCUUAUUUUAAGUUAAUAUUGAUGUCAAUUAACUUUUGGUUAUAUCAGUGAUUUGCUACUAGUGAAUAUGUAAAUGCAAAAUCUGUUUAAGUAAGAAAUGAAUAAACAUUGUAUGUUAUGUAUUUGUCAGUUUUAUUUUUGGUAAUUUACCUAUGUCUUCUUUAGUAGGAAAAGCCAUUAAAGUGGUUCACAAUAUUAGUUUAUUUUACAAGAAUAUACAGAUAAUGCAUAUAU